UCAGUUCGGAUUGGAGUCUGCAACCCGACUCCNUGAAGCUGGAUUCGCUAGUAAUCGCGCACCAGCCACGGCGCGGUGAAUACGUUCCCGGGCCUUGUACACACCGCCCGUCACACCAUGGGAGUUGGUAACACCCGAAGUCAGUAGCCUAACCGCAAGGAGGGCGCUGCCGAAGGUGGGAUCGAUGACUGGGGUGAAGUCGUAACAAGGUACC
Molecule: ribosomal RNA, 214 nt
Filed under: uncultured bacterium
Lineage: Bacteria
Description: partial 16S ribosomal RNA
Rfam family: Bacterial small subunit ribosomal RNA
Source: RNAcentral